CCGGAGCCACAAAGCUUGGAUCAGGAUCUGAACUCUCCCAAAGUUAAAGGGGAUUUGGCUCCAGGAUUUUCAUCCAACCUCACCUCUAAUUAUUAUACAGUACCAACCAUGCAAGUGAUAUUGCAAUGUUGCCAACUCUAGUGAGUUUAUUGAUAUUUUUGUGGUAUUAAGGUUUUUUCCAUAAAGUCCCAGCUCCUGGAUUCAUGAGAUUAUGUGAGACUCAAUCUCAUCUUUUUUUACAAAAAAGAAGAAGAAAAAGCUGCUAAAAAUUUUCAAAUGGAGCUGUGGAACCCAUUGGAAAUCUUAGUCCGCAGACCAUAGGUUGAAAACUACUGAACUAGCCAGAUGGAUGCCUCACUCUGCAGUUCAGGACAGCCACCAGCAGGAUCACCUCUUGCAGGGGGAAAAGCACUUGCACAGAGAUGCACUUGUCCAAUGUGUCCUCUGUCUCCACAACAAUCUUCUUCAUCAGACUGCAGGGCCUCCCAGCAAGGCUCUGCUCAUUAGCCACGCUCUGUAUUGCACUGUACUGGCUGCUGCUGAAGCCUGAGUAUGAAAGAUGUGUGUCCCUCCAAAACACCUGGAUCCCAAUUCCCCUGAACUUUGGGGAAGUUCAGAUCCAGAUCCCAACUUUGUGGCUGGCCCUUGUCUCUACUCUGUAAUAUUUCUCCCUGUUUGUUUAGGGGGGUUGUUUUGAACAGUGACAUUACUUUUUCCUUUGUCAUUAAUUUUAGUUCUGACAAAAGGACAACCCUGGAGAGUGAAGGCCUCUGUUUGUGUGGACAAUAGCAAGACUAGCUUCCCACACACUGCCUCACCAAUGGGCCUACCUCCUCUCAGAGUGGGAGGGGAGCUCAGCCCCUACAGUCUAGUCAAUUCUUGGCCUAUCUGCUGAACAAGGGAACCAAUGAGUGCCAGUGCUGGUGGGUUCUGUGAUAUGGGAACUUCCCCACUAAGAGCUGGACUGAGACUGUCCGUUUAUUCCUCACAGGACUCCACACAGCUGUUAGCAGGCAACAAUGUUCAGUCACUACCAAAACGGGCCAGAUUUGAGCUGGUGACCUGGAGAUCAAAGGCUCUGCAACACAUCACCAACCCUUUAUGUUGGCGAGUCACUACUCCCAUCAUGAUAUUUGUGCCAGUUUGAAAUAAUCCUAGGGCAGAAUUCUUCACUCUGCAGCCUCCAACCUCUGCCAUGGGAGAACAGAAGGCCAUAGGCAUUGCAUUAGCACUGGAAGAACAAGGGUGUCUGCAGGUCAGGGCUGGAGCUCUGAGCAGGUGGUUUCCAGCAGAGGACUUUAAGGGGGCAUUGCAGAUCAGGGUUGAUGGAUAGUGACAGAGCUAGGUAUGGGGAAGUUGCAUAGCCACUGCCCACACUGUGUCUUUAGGCGGCAUGGUAAGUCCCUCACUUCCUUAAGUGCUAAAAAUUCCCUAAAGUUCAAAUAAAAGGUGAAAAGAAUUACAAACUUACAGGGGUGCACAUGUUUGAGGUUACAUGAGGCUAAUCAGGACCAAGAGCCCCCAUUAAAAGCACUUUCUCUACAAGCCUAUCUCUGAGUAACACGAACAGUAUUUCCCAACUCUGCUGAAGUCCAGGACAAAUUCUGUUUAUGAAAUAAUGCCCCUGGUAUAAAGCAGCAAAUCCUUAGACAUAUGCUCUGAAUGCCAUGCAAAGCACACGGUGUCGUUUUGGGCAUGUUUUUGAUGGCAGGAAGGGCUAGGAUAAGACAUGACGAGCAAAGG
Molecule: long non-coding RNA, 1743 nt
Organism: Mauremys reevesii (Reeves's turtle)
Lineage: Eukaryota; Metazoa; Chordata; Testudines; Geoemydidae
Exons: 3
Source: RefSeq, a predicted model, not a curated record